AUCACGAGUUCCACACAUUUUGGAUACCGGGGUUAAGAGUCCCACUGGUUUGGGACUCUUCGAUCAAAGUUUCAUAUCGAUGGACUUUGAUAUCCGAUUGUCCAUCGGAUUUGGACUCAGUAUUUAUGAGAGGUUUAAUUAGUGAUUUGAUCACUAAUUAACUCAAUUUGAUUGAGUAAUUAUUUUUGAAUCAAGUCCAAUUGAAUUGGAUUCAAUUGGAUUUGAUCCGAUUAGGUUAAGUGUUGACCUAAUCGUCGAAGUGGUUUGGUCUCUGAUUUGAUCAGAGGUUGGGCUUACUCAAUUCCUGAUUUGAUUAGGAUUUUAUUGAGCCUAAUUAAAUCUAAUUAAGUUGGGUUUAAUUUAAUCUAAUUGUGCUUAACUUAUUCUAAUUAGGUUGGCUCAAUUAGAUUCAAACCACCUUGACUUUUCUCCCUGCGCCACCUCACUUCUUCAGCGCCCAUUUGAAUUCACGAGAAGCAACUUCUCGUGAAUUUUCUCCCACGCAGAAGGCAUCUCACGCCCACUCGUGUGCCAAUUUUUGGAUAAACUUGAUUUGUUAGCCAUUCAAAUUCAAACGGUGUUUGAAUUUGAAUGGAUAACUUAUCCCUUGCGCCUUCUUGCUUAUCCAUCUUGUGCGCCACUUAUCAUACACGAGAAAGAGUUUCUCGUGAAAUCUUUCCACGCACAAAGAAGCCACGCCCCUUCUCUUCUCACGCCCAGAGUGGAUAGGGAUGAGUUGGUUUGCAUUUGAAUUCAAAUUCGAUUUGAAUUCAAGUGU
RNAcentral lists this long non-coding RNA (778 nucleotides) under Elaeis guineensis (African oil palm). RNAcentral's name for it is "long non-coding RNA (EGUI_LNC080979)". Lineage: Eukaryota; Viridiplantae; Streptophyta; Magnoliopsida; Arecales; Arecaceae. The record is from RNAcentral.